AACUCAAAGAUAUACACUUUUGAUAGAAAUAGGCUUCCUCAAAUUCUGAUUUUUACUAUAUCAAAAAUGGAUCUCAAGUAGAUACUAAAAAUCACGAGCAUAGCUUUUUCGCCUGAAAGUUGAUACUUGAUAAUACUUCGACCCUAUUUCACCUCGUGACUCCUUUCCUCAUUUGAUUGACUUCUAACACUCUUGAAUCUUCAUUCCAUUUCCCGUCUCAUCUAUGAAUUAUUUGCAACUUG
This 242-nucleotide long non-coding RNA is filed under the name Olea europaea (common olive). Its description in RNAcentral is "long non-coding RNA (OEUR_LNC012722)". Lineage: Eukaryota; Viridiplantae; Streptophyta; Magnoliopsida; Lamiales; Oleaceae. The record is from RNAcentral.